Molecule: transfer RNA, 88 nt
Filed under: Nitrososphaerota archaeon
Lineage: Archaea; Thermoproteati; Nitrososphaerota
Description: tRNA-Leu
Rfam family: tRNA
About the family: Transfer RNA (tRNA) molecules are approximately 80 nucleotides in length. Their secondary structure includes four short double-helical elements and three loops (D, anti-codon, and T loops). Further hydrogen bonds mediate the characteristic L-shaped molecular structure. tRNAs have two regions of fundamental functional importance: the anti-codon, which is responsible for specific mRNA codon recognition, and the 3' end, to which the tRNAs corresponding amino acid is attached (by aminoacyl-tRNA synthetases). tRNAs cope with the degeneracy of the genetic code in two manners: having more than one tRNA (with a specific anti-codon) for a particular amino acid; and 'wobble' base-pairing, i.e. permitting non-standard base-pairing at the 3rd anti-codon position.
Source: RNAcentral
GCGGGGGUCGCCCAGCCUGGCCAAAGGCGUGAGGCUUAGGACCUCAUCCCGUAGGGGUUCGUGGGUUCGAAUCCCACCCCCCGCACCA